This 465-nucleotide ribosomal RNA is filed under the name uncultured bacterium. RNAcentral describes it as "partial 16S ribosomal RNA". It matches the Rfam family "Bacterial small subunit ribosomal RNA", at positions 28 to 507 of the family's 1533-position model. The record is from RNAcentral.
GAUGAACGCUGGCGGCGUGCUUAACACAUGCAAGUCGUACGGUAAGGCCCUUUCUGGGGUACGCGAGUGGCGAACGGGUGAGUAACACGUGAGUAACCUGCCCACAACUUUGGGAUAACGCUAGGAAACUGGUGCUAAUACUGGAUAUGUGCUCCUGCUGCAUGGUGGGGGUUGGAAAGCUCCGGCGGUUGUGGAUGGACUCGCGGCCUAUCAGCUUGUUGGUGGGGUAGUGGCCUACCAAGGCGGCGACGGGUAGCCGGCCUGAGAGGGUGACCGGCCACAUUGGGACUGAGAUACGGCACAGACUCCUACGGGAGGCAGCAGUGGGGAAUAUUGCACCAUGGGCGCAAGCCUGAUGCAGCAACGCCGCGUGCGGGAUGACGGCCUUCGGGUUGCAAACCGCUUUCAGCAGGGAAGAAGCUUUUUGUGACGGUACCUGCAGAAGAAGCACCGGCUAACUACGUG